This 294-nucleotide small RNA is filed under the name Arthrobacter sp. ERGS1:01. RNAcentral describes it as "5' ureB small RNA". It matches the Rfam family "5' ureB small RNA". The record is from Rfam by way of RNAcentral. Lineage: Bacteria; Bacillati; Actinomycetota; Actinomycetes; Micrococcales; Micrococcaceae.
CCACGGGGAUCUGGUCGGAGCUGACGAAGUGCACGUGGGUGUCGAUGCCGCCGGCCGUGAGGAUCUUGCCCUCACCGGCGAUGAUGUCCGUGGCCACACCGAUCGUGAUGGUGACGCCGUCGGAGAUCUGCGGGUUGCCGGCCUUGCCGAUCUUGAAGAUAUGGCCGUCGCGCAGCGCGACGUCGGCCUUGUAGAUGCCGGUGUAGUCGAGCACGAUCACGUUCGUGAUGACGGUGUCGGGGAUGUCCUCGUCGCGGACCAGCUGGCCGUUUUGGCCCAUGCCGUCGCGAAUCA